Molecule: long non-coding RNA, 173 nt
Organism: Sapajus apella (tufted capuchin)
Lineage: Eukaryota; Metazoa; Chordata; Mammalia; Primates; Cebidae
Exons: 3
Source: RefSeq, a predicted model, not a curated record
UGUCGGAGAGUCAGGUGGGUUAUGGUUAGUCAGGUAGGUUACAGAGAGUCAAGUAGGUUAUGGGGAGAGUCAGGUAGGUUACGGGGAGAGUCAGGUAGGUUACGGGGAGUCAAGUAGGUUAGGGAGAGAGUCAGGUAGGUUACGGAGAGUCAGGUAGGUUAUGGUCAGUCAGA